This 147-nucleotide ribosomal RNA is filed under the name Ochrophyta sp. RNAcentral's name for it is "partial small subunit ribosomal RNA". It matches the Rfam family "Eukaryotic small subunit ribosomal RNA", at positions 1296 to 1461 of the family's 1831-position model. The record is from RNAcentral.
AGUUGGUGGAGUGAUUUGUCUGGUUAAUUCCGUUAACGAACGAGACCCCCGCCUGCUAAAUAGUCCCGUGAAUGGAUGUUCAUUGACGAGGUCUUCUUAGAGGGACUUUCGGUGACUAACCGAAGGAAGUUGGGGGCAAUAACAGGU